UCUUUUUCUCCGUGCCAGUUCUAUAUUUGGCCUCAGCCCUUGCGGUUGCGGCAUUGCCCACUCUUUCUUCCAGACGCCUGUUAUGCCUAUAUGGGCAUCGGUGACUAAGAUACUCAAUUGAGUAAAGGAGAUCAGAGUCUGUCUGGAAUGAAGUCUUGCUUCUCCAGCUCCACCAGAGCAUUUAGAAAGAGUUCGGGAAUCAAGUAAGAGCAAACAGAAACAGACUGUAACCUUACAGGUGCAGCCACGAAGGCUUGUUCCUCCACCGCUGUAGCUCUUGUUCUUCUUCCUUCUCAGAGGUCGAUUCAGCAGCUUCACUCCAAGGUUAGUGCUUGUAUUGCAGGUGAUAAUCCUGAGAUGGCUUCUUGUGGCCCAGCCUCCGGAGGGAUAGCUUCGCUCCUGGGUUCCAUAGCAGGCUCCAUCUCGGUUGUGGAUCUAAUCAGCUCCAUCAGACAGACCGCUUACCUAGAGCGUGGAGAGGGCGAGGCCGCUGCUUCCACAGCAGGACAGGAGUAGAAGUGAGUGCUUCCGUCCUUUCUCCCACAGGUUCUUGUGUGGUUAUAGAUAGCCGUUUGUAUUUCUUCGUCGACAUCCUCUUAAUCACUGUCCUGUACAGUAUCAUGAAGGGGUGACUCUUCCGACUCUUUCAGGAACUACCGCACGCUCUUCUUCAACAGGAGGUUCCACCUCUCUCUCAGGAGCAUCCUCCUGCUGGACUUCCCGGUUCUUGGAGGUCUCUUGCUUUGAAAGGCCGUCGGAUUUUCCAACAGCGGAGCUUGCGCCCCGGACACGCUGGAUAAGCAAUUGAAUCGUGCCCGGAGGAAUCUGGCUCUAACCUUAGUCAAAUUCAAAUUCACUCUUUGUGCUAGCAAAUGAGCAUAAUGAAAUUCUUGGCCCUCUCUCAUCAAAGACAAGAUUAUGAAAGUUGAACAAGUGGACAACUCCGCGAUGGAUAUAACUGAAUGGAUGGCCUCCGCAAUUGUCCUCCAUGGGUUGGGCAUCACAGAGAACUGGGGUCCGUGGCUCUGUGGGGGUGCGAACGUACCAGUUCCUCACAAACCGCAUUAUCUCCAUCACCAGUAAAAGGCAUAUGUACGCCCAGGUCGACCUUCCAACGUCUUAACGUAGACCCUGCUUAACCCAGUAGCUUCUGCGACUGAUGCCUCGGAGACUUUAACUUAUCAAUUUCUGACAGUGGCUGUUCUGGUCACUGCAUCAUACGAGGCCAAGACUUCUCUCACUUCAGCAUCCUCAAAUUCCAAAUCCAACCCCAACCCAUGGUAACAUACUCGUGCGCUUCCGGCUAUCUCUGGCAUAGGAUCAAGAAUCGUUCCAGCAGGCACUUCUCCUGUUUGAGCAUAACUCGCCCGGGCACUCGGGAAACGAAAAAGGUCUGGGAUUCGACACAGGGAAAGACUAAAGGGAAUUGCAUAGAGAGUGGAUAGGAGGGUGGUAGGAGGUGUGCUGAAUAGGUGCGGGUCAAGUCUCUCAAGGGUCGUGUUUACGAGCAGUCAUAAUUGCUUUCGAACUUCUCUUUUUCAAAUGAUGAAAGGUCAUACCAUUCUUUCUCCUUG
RNAcentral lists this long non-coding RNA (1574 nucleotides) under Amborella trichopoda. RNAcentral's name for it is "long non-coding RNA (ATRI_LNC000017)". The record is from RNAcentral. Lineage: Eukaryota; Viridiplantae; Streptophyta; Magnoliopsida; Amborellales; Amborellaceae.